Molecule: ribosomal RNA, 317 nt
Filed under: uncultured Paludibacter sp.
Lineage: Bacteria; Pseudomonadati; Bacteroidota; Bacteroidia; Bacteroidales; Paludibacteraceae
Description: bacterial SSU rRNA
Rfam family: Bacterial small subunit ribosomal RNA
Source: RNAcentral
GAUGAACGCUAGCGACAGGCCUAACACAUGCAAGUCGAGGGGCAGCACGAAGGAAGCUUGCUUUCUUUGGUGGCGACCGGCGCACGGGUGCGUAACAGGUGUGCAAUCUGUCCAUAGUCGGGGGAUAGCCCAGCGAAAGCUGAAUUAAUACUCCAUGUGAAUCGAAGCCGCAUGACUUUGAUUUGAAACGCAAGGACUAUGGGUGAGCACGCUUCUGAUUAGGUAGUUGGUGGGGUAACGGCCCACCAAGCCGACGAUCAGUAGCCGGCCUGAGAGGGUGUACGGCCACAUUGGGACUGAGACACGGCCCAAACUCC